AAAAAAUUAGUUAAGUUUAUAACGUUAGGUUGUCAAUCUAAAAUCAUUUUAAAAUAAAUAUUUUUUA
Molecule: transfer RNA, 67 nt
Filed under: Contacyphon sp. BT0012
Lineage: Eukaryota; Metazoa; Arthropoda; Insecta; Coleoptera; Scirtidae
Description: tRNA-Asp
Rfam family: tRNA
About the family: Transfer RNA (tRNA) molecules are approximately 80 nucleotides in length.
Source: RNAcentral